UUGUGUCUUGUAAGAAUUGGUCAUUGUUUCAUGGGGACGACUGGCUCCUUUGGGUGGGAUCUGAUGGCAUCUCAUGGAGUUGAGGAUAUGGUAGUACUAACAGGAAACCUAGAACUUUAGCUUUCAAGACAUGCUCCUGAUUCUCUUUGUGUAGAAGCAGCCUAGAUUGAAUCACUGCCUUCUUUGCCUGUUGAUUCAAUGGCAUGAGUCAAAGCGGUCAGGUGGCACUCCAGAUCAACCGAGUCAUCAUAUGUCCCCUGACAGAAGAACUCCUCCUUUUGGAACUAAGACCUCUUUACCACCCGAGCCUGAUGUCACAGGGACUGGAAGCAAUCGUUUGUUAGUGAACUGCUAGGGAUAAUAGUGAGAAGAUCCUGUCCUAUUUCCACCCCUUGAUCCCCGUACGCAUGAGUUCUGGCUAAGGAAGAAACAGAAAUAUAUGUUGGAUGCUGAUCUAGAGCAUACUUUGCAUCCUAAAAGACCAUACAUGAGUCUCCAAAAGGACAUUCCACCAUUCUAUCAAGCCAGCUGCUUCAGGGUGACGGGGAACACGACUGAUGUCAACUUUUGUCUCGUAAUACACGAAUCUAUGAGUUUCUCUCAGAAAAUGGUUGUCUGCCAACGCUAACUGGCCAGCUCUGACAGGAGGUGCGUGGCCCAGGAGGAGCCAUCAGGCCAGUUCUCUGGGAUACUGCUGUGUCUCCAGCUCUGCAGUUUGCUCUUCGUCACUCAGCGGCAGACGGAGAGGCAGACACGAGCCCCUUGUGAGCCCUCCUCCUUACCGUCAUCUCACAAUGCUCUGAAAUAAGGAGGCAAAUGGCUGAGGUCCCCUCAGUUGUAGAUGUGAUUGAGUUCUAUCUACCAGAAGCAUAUGCCUCCUGGAAGCCUGGUUCUAACACCUCCCACAAAAUCCUUCAAGCACUUUUUUCUGUUCCAAGGUUUGCUUAUGGGGGACCCAGUGAAGUGCUUCAGAGCCCUAGAGAUUUGCUGAGUCAUAUGAGGGGUCAGCAAACUUUUCCUGUAAAGGGUCAGAUAAUAAACAUUUUAAGCUUUGUAGACUGUAUAAA
Molecule: long non-coding RNA, 1067 nt
Organism: Homo sapiens (human)
Lineage: Eukaryota; Metazoa; Chordata; Mammalia; Primates; Hominidae
Product: long intergenic non-protein coding RNA 3002
Source: Ensembl